GUGCUCACUUCAGCAGCACAUAUAUGAAAACUGGAAUAAUACAGAGAAGAUUAAGGUUAGUAUGGUUCCUGCACAAGGAUAACAUGCAAAUUCGCAAAGCAUUUUUUUUUUUU
Molecule: small nuclear RNA, 113 nt
Organism: Callithrix jacchus (white-tufted-ear marmoset)
Lineage: Eukaryota; Metazoa; Chordata; Mammalia; Primates; Cebidae
Source: Ensembl